Molecule: non-coding RNA, 72 nt
Organism: Phrynosoma platyrhinos (Desert horned lizard)
Lineage: Eukaryota; Metazoa; Chordata; Lepidosauria; Squamata; Phrynosomatidae
Source: the annotation of a GenBank genome assembly
GCCAGUGUGGCACAUGGUUUUGAGUGUUGGACUACAACUCUGGAGACCAGGGUUCGAUUCCCACCUCGGACA